CUUGACAUCCCGAUGCUAGUUCUAGAGAUGAAGUACUUCGGUACAUCGGUGACAGGUGGUGCAUGGUUGUCGUCAGCUCGUGUCGUGAGAUUGUUGGGUUAAGUCCCGCAACGAGCGCAACCCCUAUUGUUAGUUGCCAUCAUUCAGUUGGGCACUCUAGCGAGACUGCCGGUAAUAACCGGAGAAGUGGGAUGACGUCAAAUCAUCAUGCCCCUUAUGACCUGGGCUACACACGUGCUACAAUGGUUGGUACAACGAGUUGCGAGUCGGUGACGGCGAGCUAAUACUCCUUAAAGCCAAUCUCAGUUCGGAUUGUAGGCUGCAACUCGCCUACAUGAAGUCGGAAUCGCUAGUAAUCGCGGAUCAGCACGCCGCGGUGAAUACGUUCCCGGGCCUU
RNAcentral lists this ribosomal RNA (397 nucleotides) under uncultured Streptococcus sp. RNAcentral's name for it is "bacterial SSU rRNA". It matches the Rfam family "Bacterial small subunit ribosomal RNA", at positions 980 to 1382 of the family's 1533-position model. The record is from RNAcentral. Lineage: Bacteria; Bacillati; Bacillota; Bacilli; Lactobacillales; Streptococcaceae.